RNAcentral lists this ribosomal RNA (253 nucleotides) under uncultured bacterium. RNAcentral describes it as "partial 16S ribosomal RNA". It matches the Rfam family "Bacterial small subunit ribosomal RNA", at positions 524 to 776 of the family's 1533-position model. The record is from RNAcentral.
UACGGAGGGUGCAAGCAUUGAUCGGAAUUACUGGGCGUAAAGGGCGCGUAGGCGGCUCGAUAAGUCGGAUGUGAAAUUCCGGGGCUCAACCCCGGAGCGGCAUUUGAAACUGUCGAACUAGAGUACAGUUAGGGUAAACGGAAUUCCUCGUGUAGCGGUGAAAUGCGUAGAUAUGAGGAAGAACACCGGUGGUGAAGACGGUUUACUGGGCUGUAACUGACGCUGAGGCGCGAAAGCAUGGGGAGCAAACAGG